ACCCCAACCGAUCAAAAAAACAUUUCAAAUAUUAUACUCGCUUUCUUCUCAUCCUACACUUACCCCCCUUCUCAAAAGAGAAACGGGAGAAAGAGCACCGCUUGCGUCUUUGUGACUGCUAAUCUCCAAGCUUCAUCAGAGUGUAAAUUGAUAGCUUCGAAAGAGAUUAGCAGCCACUGCAUAGAAUUUGUCACAUUGAAAGAUUUUUAAGCUGUAAUACUAUCUUCCGUUUAUGCUCUUUGGUUGUAGGUUACAACUGUUUCGUAAAGGAAAGAAGGAUACAUCAAUAGGAGAGUUGAACAAGUUUUAAGUUGAUAUCUGCAAAUCAACAUUGAUACCACCAAAGGUAUAAUGGAACUUUCAUGCAUGUGUACUGUAGACUGCUAGGGAAUUCUAAAACUCCCGAGAUGAUAAAUUAAGGAGAGUGACGUUGCAAGUAGAUGAAGCCGACAUCAGUUUUGCAUUGCAGAUCAAGAUCAAGAUGGUGACGAAAAAAGAGCAAUCGCAGUUGCAGCAACUCGAAAAUCAAGUUGAGAACAGUGGUGGUGGUGCUUGGGAGUAUCUCUCUCUUGUUCGCAAGCUCAAGCUUCGUCGUUCCGAUAAGGUCUUGAAGCAUGGUUUAACAAUUUUAAACGACCCCAAGAAACGCUCGGCUCUCGGCCCAGAAGUUGAGCUCCAGAAAAUGAAGGGUAAUUGUAGAGGACGACAGUGGUGAGAGGCAGGGCUGGAUGAAGUGGCAGCAGCGGUGAAGAUUUGAAUGGUUGUAUUCCGUGGGGGUACUGGUGAGAUAGAUGUUCACGGCCGUGGAUGAUUUUAUCUAACAUCUGACAUAAAUAGCCUCUCUCUAGCUACAAAAGACGACCCACGAACCAAAAAUUGCUAAACGGCUCUCACUGAAGUGAACAAGACAUGCAGGUUAGCCAGUAGCCUACUCUGAUUUGCACAUAAUAAACCAGCAGCAGCCCAUCCUCAAGUGCAACACGCUUGUAUUCAGGGCUACAACUAUAGCUAUAGCGAGGAAUUAAAGCUUGCAAGAGAUCUGUGCUCCCACUCUCAUGCUGAGAGGAUGGAAAGCCAGCCCAUUCAACAACUUUUUCAAGAAAGGAAAUGACGCUUUGUCCUAUGUCUGAUGAUGAAUUAAUUCGAUUUGGCCUUACUAUGUUUAUUAUAUAUCAUCUACUUUUAUUUAUAGAGUCCAUCUGUAUAGUUAGUUCAGUUUUACUCUGUAAAUUAAACAUUUACUCCAAAAACAUACACAAAUCAAAUUAGUAUUUGGUUA
Long non-coding RNA from Helianthus annuus (common sunflower), 1279 nucleotides. RefSeq lists it as uncharacterized. The record is from RefSeq and is a predicted model, not a curated record. Lineage: Eukaryota; Viridiplantae; Streptophyta; Magnoliopsida; Asterales; Asteraceae. The transcript is spliced from 11 exons.